AUGCACGCUGGCGGCGUGCCUAAUACCUGCCAGUCGAGCGAACAGACGAGGAGCUUGCUCCUCUGACGUUAGCGGCGGACGGGUGAGUAACACGUGGAUAACCUACCUAUAAGACUGGGAUAACUUCGGGAAACCGGAGCUAAUACCGGAUAAUAUAUUGAACCGCAUGGUUCAAUAGUGAAAGACGGUUUUGCUGUCACUUAUAGAUGGAUCCGCGCCGCAUUAGCUAGUUGGUAAGGUAACGGCUUACCAAGGCAACGAUGCGUAGCCGACCUGAGAGGGUGAUCGGCCACACUGGAACUGAGACACGGUCCAGACUCCUACGUGAGGCAGCAGUAGGGAAUCUUCCGCAAUGGGCGAAAGCCUGACGGAGCAACGCCGCGUGAGUGAUGAAGGUCUUCGGAUCGUAAAACUCUGUUAUUAGGGAAGAACAAAUGUGUAAGUAACUAUGCACGUCUUGACGGUACCUAAUCAGAAAGCCACGGCUAACUACGUG
Molecule: ribosomal RNA, 496 nt
Filed under: uncultured bacterium
Lineage: Bacteria
Description: partial 16S ribosomal RNA
Rfam family: Bacterial small subunit ribosomal RNA
Source: RNAcentral